This 138-nucleotide long non-coding RNA is filed under the name Mustela putorius furo (domestic ferret). RNAcentral describes it as "lncRNA (ENSMPUG00000023844.1)". Lineage: Eukaryota; Metazoa; Chordata; Mammalia; Carnivora; Mustelidae. The record is from RNAcentral.
AUGGGGAGGCCCUUCCAAAGAAUACUAAGACAGUUUGGGAAAGCUGGCUUUUGGACAUGGAUUCAACACUGUUUGAAGAAGAAGAUAGGAAAGACCCAAGUGCAGAGAUGGUGAAGAUGAACGAGGAUAGUGGCUUCC